AUGAACGCUGGCGGCGUGCCUAACACAUGCAAGUCGAGCGGCAGCGAGGGGUGCUUGCACCCUGUCGGCGAGCGGCGGACGGCUGAGUAACGCGUGGGAACGUGCCCCAAAGUGAGGAAUAACUGCCCGAAAGGGUAGCUAAUACCGCAUAUUAUCUUCGGAUCAAAGGAUUUAUCCGCUUUGGGAGCGGCUCGCGUCGGAUUAGGUAGUUGGUGAGGUAAUGGCUCACCAAGCCGACGAUCCGUAGCUGGUCUGAGAGGAUGACCAGCCAGACUGGAACUGAGACACGGUCCAGACUCCUACGGGAGGCAGCAGUGAGGAAUCUUCCACAAUGGGCGAAAGCCUGAUGGAGCAACGCCGCGUGCAGGACGAAGGCCUUCGAGUUGUAAACUGCUUUUAUAAGUGAGGAAUAUGACGGUAACUUAUGAAUAAGGAUCGGCUAACUACGUG
Molecule: ribosomal RNA, 450 nt
Filed under: uncultured bacterium
Lineage: Bacteria
Description: partial 16S ribosomal RNA
Rfam family: Bacterial small subunit ribosomal RNA
Source: RNAcentral